GGUGUGAGUAAAUAUUAAAGAGAGGUAAAAUGGGAUUGUUUUAUAAGUAGAUAGCCAGGAGGUUUGCCUAGAAGCAGCCACCCUUGAAAGAGUGCGUAAUAGCUCAUUGAUCAGCGCUCUUGCGUUAAAGAUGAACGGGGUUAAACUAUUUACCGAA
Gossypium arboreum is the source of this 157-nucleotide non-coding RNA. The record is from Rfam. NCBI's taxonomy places the organism in Eukaryota, Viridiplantae, Streptophyta, Magnoliopsida, Malvales, Malvaceae.